AUGGGCGAAGCCUGAUGAGCCCUGCCGCGUGUAUGAGAGGCCUUCGGGUUGUAAGUACUUUCAGUCGUGAGGAAGGUGGUGUCGUUAAUAGCUGCAUUAUUUGACGUUAGCGACAGAAGAAGCACCGGCUAACUCCGUGCCAGCAGCCGCGGUAAUAGGACU
Molecule: ribosomal RNA, 162 nt
Filed under: uncultured bacterium
Lineage: Bacteria
Description: partial 16S ribosomal RNA
Rfam family: Bacterial small subunit ribosomal RNA
Source: RNAcentral